CCCUUAGAUGUUCUGGGCCGCACGCGUGCUACACUGAAUAGUUCAAUGGGUGAGGUAGUGCGAAAGCAUGACCCAAUCUCUAAAUCUAUUCGUGAUGGGGAUAGAAGCUUGCAAUUAUCCUUCUUGAACGAGGAAUACCUUGUAGGCAUAAGUCAUCAUCUUAUGCCGAAUACGUCCCUGCCCUUUGUACACACCGCCCGUCGCUCCUACCGAUUGAAUGGUCCGGUGAGGCUUUGGGAGAGCUAAAUAGACUGUGCUUCACAGAUUAUUUGGCUUGAACUUAGUCAAACCUUACUAUUUAGAGGAAGGAGAAGUCGUANCA
RNAcentral lists this ribosomal RNA (322 nucleotides) under uncultured eukaryote. RNAcentral describes it as "partial 18S ribosomal RNA". It matches the Rfam family "Eukaryotic small subunit ribosomal RNA", at positions 1470 to 1796 of the family's 1831-position model. The record is from RNAcentral.